AAGUCGUAACAAGGUUUCCGUAGGUGAACCUGCGGAAGGAUCAUUAACGAAAGUCGCAACGUCGGGGGCUCGCGUCUUCGGACGCGAGCCGUCGCGGACUUCUCUAUCAACCCCUUUUGUGCACCCUGCGCGAGCCGGUACGAGACUACGUGUCUCGGAAGGCUUGCGUCCAUCAAAUACCCCGAUGUAAGUCGCCGAAUGUACACCGCGUUAAUCGCAUAAAUACAACUUUCAGCAACGGAUCUCUUGGCUCUC
This 255-nucleotide unclassified non-coding RNA is filed under the name fungal sp. RNAcentral describes it as "partial internal transcribed spacer region". The stretch from base 1 to 46 matches the Rfam family "Eukaryotic small subunit ribosomal RNA", at positions 1786 to 1831 of the family's 1831-position model. The record is from RNAcentral. Lineage: Eukaryota; Fungi.